Molecule: ribosomal RNA, 467 nt
Filed under: uncultured bacterium
Lineage: Bacteria
Description: bacterial SSU rRNA
Rfam family: Bacterial small subunit ribosomal RNA
Source: RNAcentral
GAGAGACGCUGGCGGCAUGCCUAAUACAUGCAAGUCGAACGCGGCCAUCCGGUGCUUGCACUGGUGAAGCCGAGUGGCGAACGGGUGAGUAACACGUGAGAAACCUGCCCUGGAGUGGGGAAUAACUCGAAGAAAUUCGAGCUAAUACCGCAUACCUUCUCUUCACCGCAUGGUGAGUUGAAGAAAGAUUUAUCGCUCUAGGAGGGUCUCGCGGCCUAUCAGCUAGUUGGUGAGGUAAUGGCUCACCAAGGCAUCGACGGGUAGCUGGUCUGAGAGGACGAUCAGCCACACUGGGACUGAGACACGGCCCAGACUCCUACGGGAGGCAGCAGUAGGGAAUCUUGCGCAAUGGGCGAAAGCCUGACGCAGCAAUGCCGCGUGCGGGACGAAGGCCCUAGGGUCGUAAACCGCUUUCAGUAGGGACGAAAAUGACGGUACCUGCAGAAGAAGCUCCGGCCAACUACGUG